Molecule: ribosomal RNA, 188 nt
Filed under: Laceyella tengchongensis
Lineage: Bacteria; Bacillati; Bacillota; Bacilli; Caryophanales; Thermoactinomycetaceae
Description: 16S rRNA. Bacterial SSU
Rfam family: Bacterial small subunit ribosomal RNA
Source: RNAcentral
UCAGCAUGCCGCGGUGAAUACGUUCCCGGGCCUUGUACACACCGCCCGUCACACCACGAGAGUUUGCAACACCCGAAGUCGGUGAGGUAACCUUUACGGAACCAGCCGCCGAAGGUGGGGCAGAUGAUUGGGGUGAAGUCGUAACAAGGUAUCCCUACCGGAAGGUGGGGAUGGAUCACCUCCUUUCU